AUUGAACGCUGGCGGCAUGCCUAACACAUGCAAGUCGAGCGGAGCGGCGGACGGGUGAGUAAUGCCUAGGAAUCUGCCUGUUAGUGGGGGAUAACGUCCGGAACCGGGAGCUAAUACCGAUUACUAUCAGAUGAGCCUAGGUCGGAUUAGCUAGUUGGUGGGGUAAAGGCCUACCAAGGCGACGAUCCGUAACUGGUCUGAGAGGAGGAUCAGUCACCCUGGAACUGAGACACGGUCCAGACUCCUACGGGAGGCAGCAGUGGGGAAUAUUGGACAAUGGGCGAAAGCCUGAUCCAGCCAUGCCGCGUGUGUGAAGAAGGUCUUCGGAUUGUAAAGCACUUUAAGUUGGGAGGCGUUACCAACAGAAUAAGCACCGGCUAACUUCGUGCCAGCAGCCGCGGUAAUAC
This 407-nucleotide ribosomal RNA is filed under the name uncultured bacterium. RNAcentral describes it as "partial 16S ribosomal RNA". It matches the Rfam family "Bacterial small subunit ribosomal RNA", at positions 30 to 526 of the family's 1533-position model. The record is from RNAcentral.